This 288-nucleotide ribosomal RNA is filed under the name Ilumatobacteraceae bacterium. RNAcentral describes it as "partial 16S ribosomal RNA". It matches the Rfam family "Bacterial small subunit ribosomal RNA", at positions 1 to 282 of the family's 1533-position model. Lineage: Bacteria; Bacillati; Actinomycetota; Acidimicrobiia; Acidimicrobiales; Ilumatobacteraceae. The record is from RNAcentral.
UUGACGGAGAGUUUGAUCCUGGCUCAGGACGAACGCUGGCGGCGGGCUUAACACAUGCAAGUCGAACGAGGUCCAUCUUGUAGCAAUACAAGUGAAGACCUAGUGGCGAACGGGUGAGGAACACGUGAGAAAUUUGCCCCGAACUUUGGGAUAACAGUUGGAAACGACUGCUAAUACCGAAUGCCGUUACGAAGUGGCAUCACUUUGUAACGAAAGAAUUUCGGUUCGGGAGAAUCUCGCGGCCUAUCAGCUUGUUGGUGAGGUAACGGCUCACCAAGGCUACGACGG